RNAcentral lists this ribosomal RNA (1179 nucleotides) under Microbacterium sp. RNAcentral's name for it is "bacterial SSU rRNA". It matches the Rfam family "Bacterial small subunit ribosomal RNA", at positions 62 to 1251 of the family's 1533-position model. The record is from RNAcentral. Lineage: Bacteria; Bacillati; Actinomycetota; Actinomycetes; Micrococcales; Microbacteriaceae.
UCGAACGGUGAAAGCGGAGCUUGCUCUGCUGGAUCAGUGGCGAACGGGUGAGUAACACGUGAGCAAUCUGCCCCUGACUCUGGGAUAAGCGCUGGAAACGGCGUCUAAUACCGGAUACGAGCUGCGAAGGCAUCUUCAGCAGCUGGAAAGAACUUCGGUCAGGGAUGAGCUCGCGGCCUAUCAGCUUGUUGGUGAGGUAACGGCUCACCAAGGCGUCGACGGGUAGCCGGCCUGAGAGGGUGACCGGCCACACUGGGACUGAGACACGGCCCAGACUCCUACGGGAGGCAGCAGUGGGGAAUAUUGCACAAUGGGCGCAAGCCUGAUGCAGCAACGCCGCGUGAGGGACGACGGCCUUCGGGUUGUAAACCUCUUUUAGCAGGGAAGAAGCGAAAGUGACGGUACCUGCAGAAAAAGCACCGGCUAACUACGUGCCAGCAGCCGCGGUAAUACGUAGGGUGCAAGCGUUAUCCGGAAUUAUUGGGCGUAAAGAGCUCGUAGGCGGUUUGUCACGUCUGCUGUGAAAACGCGAGGCUCAACCUCGCGCCUGCAGUGGGUACGGGCAGACUAGAGUGCGGUAGGGGAGAUUGGAAUUCCUGGUGUAGCGGUGGAAUGCGCAGAUAUCAGGAGGAACACCGAUGGCGAAGGCAGAUCUCUGGGCCGUAACUGACGCUGAGGAGCGAAAGGGUGGGGAGCAAACAGGCUUAGAUACCCUGGUAGUCCACCCCGUAAACGUUGGGAACUAGUUGUGGGGUCCAUUCCACGGAUUCCGUGACGCAGCUAACGCAUUAAGUUCCCCGCCUGGGGAGUACGGCCGCAAGGCUAAAACUCAAAGGAAUUGACGGGGACCCGCACAAGCGGCGGAGCAUGCGGAUUAAUUCGAUGCAACGCGAAGAACCUUACCAAGGCUUGACAUAUACGAGAACGGGCCAGAAAUGGUCAACUCUUUGGACACUCGUAAACAGGUGGUGCAUGGUUGUCGUCAGCUCGUGUCGUGAGAUGUUGGGUUAAGUCCCGCAACGAGCGCAACCCUCGUUCUAUGUUGCCAGCACGUAAUGGUGGGAACUCAUGGGAUACUGCCGGGGUCAACUCGGAGGAAGGUGGGGAUGACGUCAAAUCAUCAUGCCCCUUAUGUCUUGGGCUUCCCGCAUGCUACAAUGGCCGGUACAAAGGGCUGCA